Molecule: ribosomal RNA, 357 nt
Filed under: Hysterangium sp. OSC122721
Lineage: Eukaryota; Fungi; Basidiomycota; Agaricomycetes; Hysterangiales; Hysterangiaceae
Also listed under: 1 other name
Description: SSU rRNA
Rfam family: Bacterial small subunit ribosomal RNA
Source: RNAcentral
GGCGUAAGGGUUUGUAGGCAGCUUUAAUUAAUUAAAGAUUGAAUCAAAUAGAGGUCAAGAGAAUUCCUAGAUUAGGGUUGAUAUCUGUAUAAACUAGGAAGAAUUCUAAUUAGCGAAGGCACUUUUCCAUCUAAUGAUUGACGCUGAGACACGAAGGGGAGGAUCGACAAUAGGAUUAGAUACCCUGGCAUCCCUCUCUGUAAACGAUGAAUGGUAGUUGCUAAUCAUAAUAAUUAGUGAUGAGGCUAACGCGUUAACCAUUCCGCCUUGUGAGUACGACUGCAAAGUUGAAAACAAAAAAAUUAGUCGGUUUCGGAGCAAACGAAGUGAAGCAUGUUAUUUAAUUCGAUAAUCCGC